CGCAGAUUCACCAACGCAACACGCAGUACUACCCGACUGCAGGCACAUCCACCGUCCACGGGUAUACACGCAACAAAGAAACCGGAAGCACCGGUUUCACACUUCCAGUGGCCAGCAACGCGGGCACGCAGGAAGCAACGGGCAUUCCAGCAAAAGAUGCUAGAAUUCCUGACGCCACCGGCGCUGAGCCAUGGAGUACGCAGUACUACGCGGCUCGUGGCACAACAGUCUACGGU
This is a non-coding RNA of Dermacentor andersoni, 236 nucleotides long. The record is from RefSeq and is a predicted model, not a curated record. NCBI's taxonomy places the organism in Eukaryota, Metazoa, Arthropoda, Arachnida, Ixodida, Ixodidae.